Long non-coding RNA from Melanotaenia boesemani (Boeseman's rainbowfish), 538 nucleotides. RefSeq lists it as uncharacterized. The transcript has 3 exons. The record is from RefSeq and is a predicted model, not a curated record. NCBI's taxonomy places the organism in Eukaryota, Metazoa, Chordata, Actinopteri, Atheriniformes, Melanotaeniidae.
AUAUGCACAUUCAUCCUUUCAAAGAAUAAUGAACUUUAAAUUCUUAAUAAUGUUCAGGCAUUUCAGAAUGUUAAAUUCAGAAAUUUUGAUUUACAUUGUACUUUUCAUUCCCUCAGGUUGCAAAUCUUGCUGCCAUGCCACAAUAAACUAGUUGAGCCAUCUCUAACUGCCAAUCAGACUUUGAGUGGAGACCUUGUGAAAAAAUAGUUUCACCAGAAAUCCAUUUACAUCAGGCCUGACAAGGUCAUUCUAAGUGAGGAAAAAGAAUCUUCAUCUUCUGAUGGCGAGCGAAGCCAUUUAGACAGGCAGGCUUUGGAUACAGACAAAAUGGCCCCUGGCAGUGUGCUUGCCUUUUCCAAAGAAACUGUCGAGGCCCAGUCCUUCACCAGCAAUACCCCUUCCAUCCUAAGUGGUGAUCAAGUUUUCUUUUGUGUUGCCACCGAAGACAUCUGCACCAAAGAACCUUCUAUCUCAGCUGACGCCCUUACCAUGACCACUAGCGAUGCUGUCGUCACUAUUGCUGAGCCCCUCCCCUUGU